This 497-nucleotide ribosomal RNA is filed under the name uncultured bacterium. RNAcentral's name for it is "partial 16S ribosomal RNA". It matches the Rfam family "Bacterial small subunit ribosomal RNA", at positions 28 to 507 of the family's 1533-position model. The record is from RNAcentral.
GAUGAACGCUGGCGGCGUGCCUAAUACAUGCAAGUCGAGCGAACGGACCAGAAGCUUGCUUCUCUGAUGUUAGCGGCGGACGGGUGAGUAACACGUGGAUAACCUACCUAUCAGACUGGGAUAACUUCGGGAAACCGGCUCUAAUACCGUACAAUAUUUUGAACCGCAUUCUUCAAAAGUGAAAGACGUUCUUGCUGUCACUUAUCGAUGGAUCCGCGCUGCUUUAGCUAGUUGGUAAGGUAACGGCUUACCAAGGCAACGAUGCAUAGCCGACCUGAGAGGGUGAUCGGCCACACUGGAACUGAGACACGGUCCAGACGCCUACGGGAGGCAGCAGUAGGGAAUCGGCCGCAAUGGGCGAAAGCCUGACGGAGCAACGCCGCGUGAGUGAUGAAGGUCUUCGGAUCGUAAAACUCUGUUAUUGGGGAAGAACAUAUGUGUAAGUAACUGUGCACAUCUUGACGGUACCUAAUCAGAAAGCCACGGCUAACUACGUG